RNAcentral lists this long non-coding RNA (878 nucleotides) under Triticum aestivum (bread wheat). Its description in RNAcentral is "long non-coding RNA (TAES_LNC009994)". Lineage: Eukaryota; Viridiplantae; Streptophyta; Magnoliopsida; Poales; Poaceae. The record is from RNAcentral.
UCUAAUCAUAAAAGAGAAAUGAGGGGAAAGAAAUAAAAUUGGGGUCAACGAAAUCAGACACCAGCCCACCAGCAGCUUCUUAGUUCACACUGACGUUUCAAUGUUUGGCUAUUGGCCGCCUGCUAUACUCUAAUGGCAAGUCAAUCGCCCAUUUUUCCUGAAAACUGACCGUGCAAAACAUAUCUUUUCUGGUCAUCCUUGACCCAAUCCUUAUUGAAUUUUAACAGCAUAUCGCAAUUAAACUUGAACAGACAUGUUCCGUUACCACCUUCACUAAAUAAAUCUUACUAAUACUGAUAAAUGUUAUCACUUCUUAAUGCAUCCUUUGCUUAACAGGAAAAUACGUGAAUCCAAGUAAAGGAAGCAGUUUUUUUGGGGGAAAAAAAGUUGAGAAAGAAUUCAACAACAGUUGCUGAAGGCCUGCGAAAGAUUUGAUGAGCAAGAUAGUACUCCCUCCGUCCCAAAAUGUAAGAUCAUUUUUGACACUAUGAUAGUAGUACAUGGGAAGCAUUAUUGUGAAAGGCGCUUUCGGUCAAGAGCAAUCAUUGACUUAUCUGUCAAUAUGUGAACGAUGCCAAGUGGGGGAUAUGUGGUCUCUUCCAUCUUCUUUGACCUGAGGUGUUUAGUUGCCCACUGGGGAACUAUUAUUGUCUGAUGUUUACGUUUGCUGCUGUUUUUUUUUAUUCUCCUGCCUCCACUAUUAUUGUAGACUAGAUAAUACCCCACGCGUUGCUGCAGGAAUUGGUUACAAUAUAUUAUGAUGAGAUUUGAUUCUUUGAAACAUGAAUAUUUGAUUUGUAAUAUGAGAAGUAAAACUAAAAAAUAAAUAUGAUUGAUUUUAUUUAAUUAUUGAGGUUACAUGUGUACAUGUCUUUUUG